UUAACCUCUUUCAUCCGAGAUUACCCGCUGAACUUAAGCAUAUCAAUA
This 48-nucleotide ribosomal RNA is filed under the name Yarrowia phangngaensis. Its description in RNAcentral is "partial 26S ribosomal RNA". Lineage: Eukaryota; Fungi; Ascomycota; Dipodascomycetes; Dipodascales. The record is from RNAcentral.